GUAGCAAUACAUUGGUGGCGACCGGCGCACGGGUGAGUAACGCGUAUGCAACCUACCUAUCAGAGGGGAAUAACCCGGCGAAAGUCGGACUAAUACCGCAUAAAACAGGGGUUCCACAUGGAAAUAUUUGUUAAAGAAUUAUCGCUGAUAGAUGGGCAUGCGUUCCAUUAGAUAGUUGGUGAGGUAACGGCUCACCAAGUCCACGAUGGAUAGGGGUUCUGAGAGGAAGGUCCCCCACACUGGUACUGAGACACGGACCAGACUCCAACGGGAGGCAGCAGUGAGGAAUAUUGGUCAAUGGGCGAGAGCCUGAACCAGCCAAGUCGCGUGAAGGAUGAAGGAUCUAUGGUUUGUAAACUUCUUUUAUAUGGGAAUAAAGUGAGGAACGUGUUCCUUUUUGUAUGUACCAUAUGAAUAAGCAUCGGCUAACUACGUGCCAGC
RNAcentral lists this ribosomal RNA (441 nucleotides) under Parabacteroides goldsteinii. Its description in RNAcentral is "bacterial SSU rRNA". It matches the Rfam family "Bacterial small subunit ribosomal RNA", at positions 76 to 512 of the family's 1533-position model. Lineage: Bacteria; Pseudomonadati; Bacteroidota; Bacteroidia; Bacteroidales; Tannerellaceae. The record is from RNAcentral.